Sorghum bicolor (sorghum) is the source of this 1921-nucleotide long non-coding RNA. RefSeq lists it as uncharacterized. The record is from RefSeq and is a predicted model, not a curated record. Lineage: Eukaryota; Viridiplantae; Streptophyta; Magnoliopsida; Poales; Poaceae. The transcript is spliced from 2 exons.
UCGGCCUGCCUCUCCGUUGCGCCCUUCCUCUCGUCCAUCUCGCCCAGCUACAACAACCGCCACAGCACCGUUCCCCGCCGCAGCUCCUUCCAUCGCAGCCCCCUGCGCGAAUAGGCGAACCGCCGCCCGCCCGCUCGCCAGCGGAUGCACGCCAGGCGCUCGGGUCAGCCAGUUCUCGGCGCGCGCUGCUCUUGGGGGUCGACCAAGCCGUUGCCGCCGUGCCGACCCCUACACCUGCAACCGCGACAUCACCCACUCGCCGCCGGAUGCACGCGAGGCGCUCAGGUUGCGUGCCUCUCCUUCCCAUCCCCACGCGACCACGCCGCCGAAUGCACUUUCCCAUCUCUUCCACACGCCAAGCCCACCCGCCGCCUCCUACCAUCUGCUCUCGAUUCCCAGCCCAACAUCCACUCCCUCUCAACGGAUCCAGUGAGGACACAUCCCAGUUGGUGUAGAAGCGUUCUACCUCGUCGGAUCCAGCGUAGAGGCGAACCCACCUCCAGGGAGAACCCCCUACCCGCGAUCCCACUGCCCUGGAGUUCGAGUGUCUGACACCGGCGGCCGUUCGGAGCUCCAAGCGUCAAAGCAAGGUUGAAGACAGCAACAACUAGAGGAGCGGUACGCUGAGCACUUGGGCUUCUAUGUUUCCAGCCAGGUCUACCAGGCCUUAUCGGCUUAGCCAUAGGGCAAGCUGCAUUUUUUGGACGGGUGCACAAACCAGUGCUCUACAGAGUUGUUGCUUCUCUGCAUCAUCGUUGUCCACCUCUCGGCGGUGUCUAGGCGGCCUUCCUGGUGGUGUGGCUCAUCCGUGCACUCAACCUAAGAAAAGUUAAUAUUGGAACAACCCUGUGUAUCCUUUAUCCAGUUACAGUCUCUUGUGCGUUAUUCUGUUAUGUACUUAUGUGUGAUACAUGUUAGCUUUCCUUGGUCUUUUUCUGAAGUGAUGUUUCGUUUAUUAUCUUCAUACCCAAUUGCUAUGAUUUAUAGAGCAUCUUUGAUGGUAAAGAAGUAGAUGACCGGCCAGUUCUUUAUGUGAAAAGGGACCAUUUGGGAUCUUGAAUUUAGGAUUGGAUGGUGGAGUAUGCUGCUAUUAUUGGAUUAAUCGGUGAGGAAGGUUAGUUAGCUUUGUAUUUUUGUAGGGUCUGGUGAUCUUGCAUGGAGAAAGGGUUAGUGAUGUCGACUGAUUUUGGGUUCUUGAAUGAAAAUGGUUUUUUAGUUGUAUUUAACGCUUUAUAAAUGAGGAUUCUUUUCUACCCACAGUGGAUUAAUCUUGGUUGUGGGCAUUUUACUUCUAUGUUUGGUUGUUCCUUAGGAAUUAGGAUGCAAAUUGUAACCUGUAAAAUUGCUGAAUAAAUCAUAAUUGAAAUAACACAUGAUCUUUGUUACCUCAAAUCAAAGCCUACUUCAUAGCCUCUUCAAUAGCUUAGUUGGAACUUUCGUUUACAAGUUUAUAUAGUUGUUGAGGUUGAUGUUCUAAAAAAAUAAAGAAUCUGCAUGCAGAUACAAUAUUGGAUUAGUAACCAUGCUUUGUGAUUCCUUAAGCACAGUGCAAGGCUACAUCAGCUCUGAAGGGGUCAAUAUCACUAAAUCGGGAAGCAAGCAUGGAUUUUCAAUUUCUACUUUGAUUAUCCAAAAUAUUCAGGCAAGCAGGUGCAAAGGAAGAACUUCAACAAAGUUAGCUAAAGUACAAGUGUUGUAGGUAAGGCCUGGUAUUAUGCCUAAUUCGCUAGGCAUGUCAUUUCCUACGCAACCAGCUCAUGGUGUACCACCUCAAAUGUAUAUUCUCUAUUUCAUCCUGUCUACUUGCACCAAUUUAAUUAUGUUCCCCAUUCUAUUCCUUAUAUACAAGUUAUUGAUUUGUAUGCAUGGAAUUGUCAUCUAAGGUACUUGGACUAUGGUCGCCAUGUGACCUGGUCAUCAA